Molecule: ribosomal RNA, 481 nt
Filed under: uncultured bacterium
Lineage: Bacteria
Description: partial 16S ribosomal RNA
Rfam family: Bacterial small subunit ribosomal RNA
Source: RNAcentral
GAUGAACGCUGGCGGCGUGCUUAACACAUGCGAGUCGAACGAAGCAUUUGCGACAGAUUUUUUCGGAAUGAAGUUGCUUAUGACUGAGUGGCGGACGGGUGAGUAACGCGUGGGUAACCUGCCUUGUACUGGGGGAUAGCAGCUGGAAACGGCUGGUAAUACCGCAUAAGCGCACAAUGUUGCAUGACAUGGUGUGAAAAACUCCGGUGGUAUAAGAUGGACCCGCGUCUGAUUAGCUAGUUGGUGAGAUAACAGCCCACCAAGGCGACGAUCAGUAGCCGACCUGAGAGGGUGACCGGCCACAUUGGGACUGAGACACGGCCCAGACUCCUACGGAAGGCAGCAGUGGGGAAUAUUGCACAAUGGAGGAAACUCUGAUGCAGCGACGCCGCGUGAGUGAAGAAGUAAUUCGUUAUGUAAAGCUCUAUCAGCAGGGAAGAUAGUGACGGUACCUGAAGAAGAAGCACCGGCUAAAUACGUG